This 515-nucleotide ribosomal RNA is filed under the name uncultured bacterium. RNAcentral describes it as "partial 16S ribosomal RNA". It matches the Rfam family "Bacterial small subunit ribosomal RNA", at positions 57 to 574 of the family's 1533-position model. The record is from RNAcentral.
GCAAGUCGAACGGUAACUGGUUACGCCGAGGAGUGGGGAACGGGAGACCUUUUUAUCCCAACCUGCCCAGCCGUGAUGGACAAGGUAAAGUAAUUUACGCUACUACCGUAAACCAUCUUAGGAUUAUAGCAGGGGAUCGCAAUAUCUCGCGCGAUUGGGGCGGUUGAUAUCAGAUUAUGUUGUUGGAGAUGUAAGAUCUCCCCAGGCCUACCAUCUGUAGCUGGUUUGAGAGAACUACCCGCCACACUGGCACUGAUACGCGGCCCACACUCCUACGGGACGCAACAGUGGGGAAUUGUGGACAAUGGGCGAAAGUCUGAUCCACCUGUGCCGCGCGCGGGAAGAGGGCCUUCGGGUGGUAAACUGUUUUUGUACGGAACGAAAAAGUCUGCCCUAAUACAGUGGCCUCAUGACAUGACCGUACGAAUAAAAACCGGAUCACUACAUGCCAGCACCCCCGGAGAUACGUAACGUGCGAGCGAUUAUUUGAAUUACUGGGCUGCGAGCGUGGGCUG